ACCAGACUCACCCCCGCGUAACUGAACUCUCGCACGCCUCCCCAGUCUCUUUCCCCACCCACAGACUACCGCCCAACUCCCGCCCCACCUUCUUCCCCGUCGGCGGCCCAACUCCCGCCCCACCUUCUUCCCCGUCGGCGGGCGGCGGCCGAACUCCCGCCUCACCUUCUUCCCCGUCGGCGGCCCAACUCCACCGCAGCCCCACGCCUCUACCAGCCUCAGGUUCCCCACCAUCCUCGCUGCUGGUUCCAGCCCCAAUCUGGAUCGAUUGGCAACCCUGCGCGUCGCCCCUGCCGGCCAGCUCCCUACCACGGCCAACCACCUAGCACACGACCCCUGCCUCGGUCGACCACGCCGCGUACCACCCCUUCUGGCGAGAUCUCUUCCCUGGCUAGCCACCCCCUUCUCCACCCCUCCUUCUCCCAUUUUCUGACCCGUAAGGAGGACGCCAUGGCCGCCAAUUUGAGCUCCAUGGCCGGCGGCGGUUCACAGGCCCAACCGAAGGCCCUAGAUCUUCUCUGAAUUUUCGUUGCUACACCGCCGCUGGAACCUGACUGGACCACUGUUGCUCCCAGCAUGAUGCGUGCUGAUGCAUAAGAAUGCAGCUGACGCGGGUACUGAACCUGUACGAGGGUGCUUCUGAACUGCAUAUAGUUUGGCAGUCCACAUGCAGGAAAACAUGAAGUGAAUUGGUCAGUAUGAAGAAUUUCAGAGAUGAAAGAACUUUAAGUGUGCAGAAUGCCUUCGGUAAAGGUGGUCACUACUGCUGUUUCAUAGACACCAGCAGGCCCUCGUCCACAUAAGCAUAAAAAAGUGAAGUUCACUUUUAUAAAAAAUGCAAGUUAGCUUUUAUUUAAAAUGAAAGUUCGCCACAUAAGCAGAAAAAUGUGAAGUCCACUUUUAUUUAAAAUGCAAGUACGCUUUUAUUUAAAAUGCAAGCUCGCUUGUACACAUAAGCAUAAUAAAGUGAAGUUCACUUUUAUUGAAAAUGCAAGUUCGCUUUUAUUUAAAAUGCAAGCUUGCUUGUCCACAUAAGAACAAAAAUGUGAAGUUCUCUUUUAUUUAAAAUUCAAGUACGUUUUUAUUUAAAAUGCACGCUCGCUUGUCCACAUAAGCACAAAAAUGUGAAGUUCGCUUUUAUUUAAAAUGCAAGUUCGCUUGUCCAGAUAUGCACAAAAAGGUGAAGUUCGCUUUUAUUUAAAAUGCAAGUUCGCUUGUCCACAUAAACACAAAAACGUGAAGUUCGCUUUUAUUUAAAAUGCAAGUUCGCUUGUCCACAUAAGCGCAAAAAUGUGAAGUCCACUGUAUUUAAAAUGCAAGUUCGCUUGUCCACACAAGCACAAAAAUGUGAAGUUAGCUUUUAUUUAAAAUGCAAGUUCGCUUUUACUUAAAAUGCAAUUUUGCUUGUCCACAUAAGCACAAAAAUGUGAAGUUUGCUUUUAUUUAAAAUGCAACUCCUUGCAUCUGUGAAGUGCAGGCGUAUAUUGUCCUCACUGCUGUUUUUUGCUGAAAUAGUGUUCUCUGUCUCUCUUUUUUCUGUAUUUGUUCUCUCAUUUUUAUGGAAAAAAUGAAUAAAGGUUGGGAAUAAUAUGGUACAAGUAUGUGCUGGUGUCGUGUCUGACUAUAAAAGGAAGUAGAGGUUCCUUUUGUUUACAAAAGCCGGUUAUUUUAACUUGCUUUUGCUGUUCCUUUUCAGGUAUUUAUCCAUGGUAAGAAGGAUGGCAUGAUCCCUCCAGGCACAACAAACCAUGUGCAUAUACGCAGUGCAGGCAUAUGCAUAUCAGGGACAUGAGAUGGAUGUUCAGAUGCGAGUAAUCAAGCAGUCAUGCUGUCCUCUCUUGUGAUCCCUCCAACGAGCUCCAUUGGGAAGUCCACUACGCGUCUCACUCUGGUGUCCACCGUGCUCCGUCAGGAACUCCACUACAACUUCACCUCACGCGAUUCAGUACUCAGCCACGACGACAACCGGACUUAACUACCAUAACAGUGCCCACAAGCAGCAUGGCAACAAGCUGGGUGUUCUUGCGGCUGCCUCCCGCUGUUGUUAUUACAAGUGCAAUUCAAUUCAGGCUCUUCAUUUCAUUUGGAUGAAGCAACCGAACACAAGUGCACAACCGGAAUAAAGAUGUGGAGAUGAAGAACUCAUUUUUUCUAAUCCAUGGAGUUCAUUUCUCCUAAAUUUUGUAGUUCACAUCUCCUGCUAAUUGGAGCUAGGUACUUGAGAAGUGUCCACUCGCAUCAUCCGAGCAUUACAUGCAUAUACAGCAAGGCCUACCUAAGCACCGCCAUCUCGACAAGGCGAUGCUGCAGAGGACAAGGACAUAAACGUGGUGCCAGCCCCGCCCUUCUUCCGGCUAGUGGACGUGGCUUGGCGGUCCCUCGGUGUCCAUGGCGUAGUCAAGCCCGACUGUCAUGCGGCGGGCGAGUCCGCUCCAGGAGAAUCACCAGGACGGACACAUUGUUGGCUGAGUGAAGUUUACUGAUACUAAUUCGUGGAGUUAACUUGUCCUAAUCGUGAAGUUCACGUCUCCUAAUACUUCAUUGUAGACUAUUUCUGCUAGAUGGAUUUUUUACUAGUUAGCAGCAUAAACACACAACUAAUUCAGUGUGUUAGUUAAAUGUCCUCUAAGUGCUUCUUUUAAUGCCUGCCUUAGUGUGGUCUGCUAGAUGCAUUACAAUGUUGUUUACGUGAUGCUAACUAGAAAAAACAUGUUCAUUCCAUUUGUAUGACAAGUUCACUUUUUUUUAU
Molecule: non-coding RNA, 2749 nt
Organism: Lolium perenne
Lineage: Eukaryota; Viridiplantae; Streptophyta; Magnoliopsida; Poales; Poaceae
Source: RefSeq, a predicted model, not a curated record